CCUCGGCCAUUGUUAGCUCUGUGUUGAGAUUGACAGUUUUGAAGCUUUGUGGAGCAGAGGUGCACCAUGGCUUGCCACAAGGUCACAACUGGUCCCUGGAGAGCCGCUGGUGGUGACGGGUUGCCUGUGCCCUCUCUGCGGCAAAACUCCACACAUACUCCACUCACCAAGUUCCAGAGGGAGAGGAUCACCGGCCGUACUAAAGGAAGUGGCUCUAUGUAGGGAUGGAACAUGGCAACUGCACCAGCUGGGAUACACCUAGCCAACUAUUGUGUUAAGAAUAUGGAGAAAGACGGACCAAGGCAAGAAGAGGAGGAGGAGGAA
Portunus trituberculatus (swimming crab) is the source of this 324-nucleotide long non-coding RNA. RefSeq lists it as uncharacterized. The record is from RefSeq and is a predicted model, not a curated record. The transcript has 4 exons. Lineage: Eukaryota; Metazoa; Arthropoda; Malacostraca; Decapoda; Portunidae.